This 2665-nucleotide long non-coding RNA is filed under the name Sus scrofa (pig). RNAcentral describes it as "lncRNA (ENSSSCG00030037505.1)". The record is from RNAcentral. Lineage: Eukaryota; Metazoa; Chordata; Mammalia; Artiodactyla; Suidae.
GGAAGCCUCGUCCGCGAGUCGCGGACUCCGGGCCCGGAGGGCGGCGGGAGGUCCUGCGCUGCGGUGCGGCUAUAGCGCCCGCGCUCCCCGCGGAAGAACCGCCGAGUCGAGCGCUGAAGGUGUGGCCCAGCAGGAGUGUCAGAACGUGCCUAGCCGCUCGAGUCGGAGUCGCCAGAACCCCCGGAAGACGAGCCGUUCACCGGCAGGCCAACUGGGGCUCCUUCGUGUAGUGGACUGUCAGCCAAGCGUCGGGAACGCAGUGUCGUGGGUGUGCGGCUGACCGGGUGAGGAGGAUCUUUCACAGAGACCGUGCCCCUCCGUGGAGUCCAGGAACAGGUGCUGGAGGCGACGGAGGCCGAGGCAGUGGUUCCCUGGGCGGGUGUGGUGAUAGGGCAGGGGGCACUGUGGGCGGGGAUGGGGAUUCGCCCCCGUCUUCAUCUGGGGGUAGUUAAGUGGGUGUCUGCAUUCGUAAAAAUUCUUCACGUUUAUACCCUUAAGAUUAGUGCACUUCACUGCGUUACAAUACACCUCCAAAAAAGUGAAGGUGGUAACACUUCAUCCUUGAGUCCGUAUUUCCCCAUGAGCUCCAAAAUCACGCCACCAAGUUUUAGUGUAAAUUCUCUGCUUUUGUUAUAAUCGAAUCUCCUUUUUUUUUAGCUUGUUUUUGUUUUUUGUUUCUGGCUGCCCCUGCAGCAUGUGGAAAUUCCCUGGCCAGGGACGGAACCUGGCCCGUGACCCACACCACAGCAAUCCUUAACCCACUGAGCAGGUCCACAUAUAGAUACUAGGCAGGUUCAUUACUGCUGAGGCACAAUAUAAACUCCCAGGAAUUCCUCUUUUAUUAAUAAAAAACAAGACAUGGUUUAUCUAUAGAUGCGAAGCUUUUGAAGUUUGUACUUCAAGGCUUUUUGUAGUUCUUUCUAGUUUAUAGUUAUCUUUUCAAUAACUCCUAUUUUUAUUUUUAAUUUAUACUUUUUUUUUUUGUCUUUUUAGGGCCUCAAACCUGCGUCCUCAUGGAUACUAGUCAAAUUUGUUUCCCCUGAGCCAGGACAGGAACUCCCUUCAAGGAUAUUUGUUUGUUUGAUUCUUUCUGCUUUUUUGUUUUUUCUAGGGCCACACCCACAGCGUGUGGAGGUUCGCAAGCUAGGGGUCCAGUCGGAGCUGUCGCCGCCAGCCUAUACCACAGCCACAGCCACGCAGGAUCUGAGCUGCAUCUGCACCCUACACCACAGCUCACAGCAACACUGGAUCCCCAACCCACUGAACCAGGCCAGGGAUCGAAUUGCAACCUCAUGGUUCCUAGUCAGGUUCAUUAACCACUGAGCCAUGACAGGAACUCUGCUUCAAGGAUAUUUGGAAGCAUCUAUAUUUAUGGCCCAUCUCAGAAUGCAAAAGGUUUUUAAAAAUGUAAACCUCUUUGCCUUUUGGAGUGUAAAUAUUUGGGGGCUUAAGAGUCUGAUGCAUCUGUGUGCGACAGAGCUGGUCUCAGCAGGCACCUCACUGGGCUCUCAUGAGGGGAUUUCUUUCACGGAACCGUCUUUGGUAUGUAGCAGGUGUUCGUAGGUGUUAGUCAUUGCCGUUACUGUCUGUAUCACUGCCAUCAUCAAAGCCUGACAAGGCAAGGCUUCCAGGCCUCGCUCUGCCAUGAAAGAGUUGGGCGGAGCAAGGCCUGUGCGUUGGGUCUCUGAGCCUCACUUCCUGAGUGGGCAACAUGAAAAUUGAUGCCCGCUUCAAGGGUUGCUGUGACCGUUACACCAGUGUGGAUGGGAAAGCAGUUGUUUCAAGAAGCAUCAAAGGUUAAUAACACCUGGAACGUUUUCCAGAAGAAAGUUAAAUACAGGAUGGCCUGAUGCGUUCCCCACAGGGUGUACUCUUCGCUUCCGUUUCAUUCGUGUUCAACAAGAUGCGCGUUCAGGCCAUGCUCCAUUUCUGCAGCAAAAAAGGCACUUUGCAGCUAUAUUCUUUGCACGUGAUGCUGAGUAGUAUUUCAGAGCCAGGCCUUAGAAACUUCAAGGCCUGGGAGUUCCUUCGUGGCUCUGGUUAACGAACCCGACUAGGAUCCGUGAGGACUCAGGUUUGAUCCCUGGCCUUGCUCAGUGGGUUAAGGAUCUGGCAUUGCUAUGAGCUGUGGUGUAGGUCACAGACAUGGCUUGGAUCCCAUCAUUUUGCUGUGGCUGUGGCAUAGGGUGGCAGCUGCAGCUCCAAUUUGACCCCUAUCCUGGGAACUUCCAUAUGCCUCUGGUAUGGCCCUAAAAAGACCAAAAAAAAAUUAGCAAAGGAGUUCCUGCUGCAGUGCAAUGAGAUUUAAGUGUCUGUAGCACCAGGACACAGGUUCAACUCCCUGCCCCUCAGAGAGGGCUAAAGGAUCCAGCAUUAUCGAAGCUUCAGCGUAGGUCAGCUUCAGCUGUGUCUCAGAUCUGAUCCAUGGCCCGGGAGCUUCAUGCGCUGCAAAGUGGCCAAAAAAUUUAAAAAGGAAAAAGUUCUUGUCGUGUCUCAGCAGUAACAAACCUGAUUAGUCAUGAGGAUGUGGGUUCAAUCCCUGGCCCGGCUCAGUGGGUUAACAUUCUGCUGUUGCCAUGGGCUGUGGUGUAGGUUGCAUAUGUGGUUUGGAUUUGAUCUCUAGUCUGGGAACUUCCAUAGCCCUCCAAAAAAAAAAAAAUAAAAA